This 369-nucleotide ribosomal RNA is filed under the name uncultured bacterium. RNAcentral describes it as "bacterial SSU rRNA". It matches the Rfam family "Bacterial small subunit ribosomal RNA", at positions 8 to 405 of the family's 1533-position model. The record is from RNAcentral.
AGAGUUUGAUCCUGGCUCAGAGCGAACGCUGGCGGCAGGCCUAACACAUGCAAGUCGAACGAACUCUUCGGAGUUAGUGGCGGACGGGUGAGUAACACGUGGGAACGUGCCUUUAGGUUCGGAAUAACUCAGGGAAACUUGUGCUAAUACCGAAUGUGCCCUUCGGGGGAAAGAUUUAUCGCCUUUAGAGCGGCCCGCGUCUGAUUAGCUAGUUGGUGAGGUAAAGGCUCACCAAGGCGACGAUCAGUAGCUGGUCUGAGAGGAUGAUCAGCCACAUUGGGACUGAGACACGGCCCUUUCUCCUACGGGAGGCAGCAGUGGGGAAUCUUGCGCAAUGGGCGAAAGCCUGACGCAGCCAUGCCGCGUGAA